UUCAAAUUACAUGUUGAAUUCCAUCAUAAUCCUAGAAAAAGUAAAUUAGCUCAUAAUAUUAACUAAAGAUAUCUUCCAAAGAAAUUAAGUAUUAAUCCAAGUCAAAGAAAAUAAAAAAAAAACAAAAGUAGAGAGAGAAACUAAUAUGUUGAAGCAUUUUUAUUUCAAUUCUCUUUAGAAUUCUCUUACUUUCUUGCCUUUUUCUUUUUACUCUUUUUCUCUAGAAUUGUUGCUUUCUAUCCCCUCUUGAAAACCUCUUAAAAAAGACCUCUUAAAUACUCUCCAAAAGCCCUAGUUUUAAAAAUCCCAUAAUAUGUAGAUUUUGACAACUAGUCUGGUGCCACAACACCAUGCUUUUGGGUUUAAGUAUGAUGCUUCAUUCUUUAACAAACGCCGUAACCUCCAUUCACCAACACCAUGGUGCUGCAUUCUUGGGUCAUACUAUGGGGCGCUGCUACAUCUUUUUGCCAUAGCCUUGAGCAAUUCAAGGCUGCGGGCUUCACUUUCAUAUGUUGCCUUAUGCAGAAUUGCAAUAGUCUAGCCUUUUCCAACGUAAUUUUCACCUCUAUUUAAUCCGAACUAAGUGAACUGGUAAAUAUAAAAGUUGUAAUACUCUCUCUCAGCUUUCCAAUGGCUCAAGCAUCACAUCAAUUAGACUUUUGUAGCUCAAGGUAUGCAUGAAAUACUGCAGUUUGUAUGAACAAAGUCAUCACCAUACUUGCACAGAUUUUCAUCAACUAAGGUCUUUUCAUCAAAUUUUCUACAAAAACAAUAAAAGAAAACAGAAAUAACUAAAAUUAAAGUAAUUUGAAGCAAAAUAAAUAAAAUUAAACUAAACUAAUCAAUAUUUGUUGAACUAAAUUAAGAAAAAUAACUAAAAUACUUAAAUUAUGAACAUAAAAUGUCAAAAAUUUAGCUACUUAAGCCCCCAAAAUGUGACAAAAUAACUUUAUAUAAUAAAGUUAUCACUCCAUAACAAAAAAAAGGCCUGACCAUUAUUAGGUGUCACCUUAUUAAAAUUCCAUUCAAUGCACCUCAAAUUCCAUACCUUCCAAAAUUCAUAGCAAGUAAAGAACAGAUGAUUCACCGUCUAUCUACCUUGCUUACAUAGUAAACAUAUUGUUUAUUCCUCUCCAAUUAAACCUCUUCAAGCAAGUUCAUCCUUCACUGUGAUCCACCUCCACAUUAAUCACAAACAAAAAUUUCUACACUAUAUGGAGCAUAUCCCAACCAAAUUUUUACCAAUCUAAAGUACAUUAGUGUAUUUUUUUCUAUUGCUUUCUUCAUUGGAAUGAUGUUGAUAAAGGAAAGGCAUACAUUGAUUAACAUGAAACGAUGAAAGUAUUAUACAUUGUCGGUGGAAUUUUUAAUAAAUAAUUAUUGAUAAAAAAUUGUAACACCAAAAUUCUUUAUAUAUAUAUGUAUGCGUGUAUUUCUUUUUCUUUGACUUAUAAUUGGCAUUUAACUUAUUGAUCCAUUUUGUAUCCAUUCUAUGAAAAUUAUAUCUUUAUAUGCUAUUUCUAAUCAUCCAUAAUAUAAACCACCUAUGUUGAAAUAUAAUAUGAACUUAAUAAAAAGAAAAAUGAAUAAAAAAAUACAAUUUGUGAAACCAAUUGACACCUUAUUUUUCCAAGUAAACUGCUCAUGCAAGUUAAAAUAUUAUUUAGGCAUAAUACUUAAAAAGUCUCUAAACUAUUUAUGAAAAUUUAAAUAAAUUUUUAUUUUUUUAUUGCGUUCAAUCAAACCUUAAACUUUAUUUUAAAUCAAAUAGGCCUUUAUGACUAACUAUUAAUAGUCAAAACAUCAACUAUCAUUUUAUAUCACCUGAUAUGUUAACAUGUCAUAAUGGAUAAUGACAUAUAGUGGCGAACGAAGGGGAUCUAAUAGGGCCUUGCCUCCUCAACCAAAGUUUUAAAUUUUUAUAACAUAUCCUUUUCUUAAGAAUUUUAUAAUUUUGUGCCUACAAAUAUUGAACUUUUAGAAUUACUGUUUUAUAAAUAUUAUCUUUGCCCCUAAACGCGAAAUUCUGGUUCCACCACUAAUGAUGUAGCAAGCUAACAUGGUAUGAUAACAUGGUCACAUAGCAUUUCAUCCUCCAUGUCAAUGUCAUAUGCCAUAUUCAUCCUUCAUGUCAAUGCCACGUGGCAUAAAAAAUGACAAAUGACAAUUAGUCAAUCGUUAGCCAUAAGGGCAUACUUGAUGGAAAAUAAAAAUGUAAGGGCUUGAUUGAACAUAAUAGAAUUUUAAGGAUUUAUUUAAUUUUUUUUGAAUAAUUUAGGAGUUUUCUAAAACAAUAUAGCUAUUAUUUAUAAUCAAGGAAAACCAUUCUAUAUUUUCAACUAUCAUACAUCCUUAGUUUGAUGUAGAAGUUAUUGAAAUUCAUCAACUAUUUAGAUUUCAUAAUUAUUUAACCUUUUAAUGAUUUAAAGGAAUAAAAUUUAUAGUUUUUAAUAUAGUUAAAUUUAAAUUUUAUUAAGACAAAUUUCCUUUAAUAAAGAGUUUAGUUUAAUAAGGAAAUAGAUAACAAUUGCCAAUAUUUAAUUUAAAAAAGAAAUCAUUUAAUUAAAAAAAUUAUUAAUUUAAUAAAUUGAUAGGGAUACACACAUAAUAAUAAUAAUAAGAAUAAUAAUAAUAAUAAUAAUGAUAAUAAGUUUGGCUUUUUUUUAUGGUAAGAAGUUUCAAAAUAUCUCAAAACCUCUAUAAAUUAAUACUCGAUAAAUUAAUAAUCUCGAUUAAAUAAUAUUUUUGACCGGUCUUGACUUAGGACCAACUUGGUAAAUUAAUAAUUCAUUAAACUUAUAAGAUAAUACAUUUAAAAAAAAACACACAGAUGGUGCCCACUUGAUAUAUAAACUAAUAAUCUUCUUAUACAUCAAAAUUAUAUAUAUGCAUGAUUCAAUUAAAAAGUAUUUGUGAAAUAUGACUCCAACGCUACUUGAUUUUUCUUUAAAUUGAUGUGUCAUUACACCUCAUCUCUAACUUUUCUUAGUGGAUUAAGAAACUCUGGUGUAGUGUUUGCUAGGAUUCGACCUCAUGCUCAAACAUGAAAUUAAUCAUGAAAUUAAAAACAUAAUGCAACAGAAAAAUAAAACAUGCAUUUAAUCAAAGAAACAGCUGAAUUCCACAAGAUCAAUGUUUGUGUUUUUCAUGUAAUUUUCAAUUUAAUUAUGAAUAUUUAUAAGUUUAAGUAUUACAUACCUUGCUCUAGAUAUCGCAAUCAAGACCAAUUAAAUCCAAAAUGACUUGUAAUGAAGCAAGAAGCUCGAAAAUAAAAUAAGUCAAUUUGAAAUCCUGUAGUUGAAAUUUUCGCGCCUUCACUCUUAAGAUUUGUCAAAUCUUCAGUCACUAAAAUGUUUAGCCUCAAGCAAUAAUCCACACAAUGACCGAAUAAGACUUUCUCAAAGGUAAGAUUUUUUUUAUGCUAGCAAGUUUUGUUUCCAAAAUAAAAUAGACCAAAAGUUCUUGCCGAAUCUCAUUUCUAUUAGACAAAGAAAAUUAUUAUUUUUUCUUAUUUUCAAGAAAUAGCAAAGUGGCUGAAGGUUUUUUUAUCAUAAUUUUAGUUCACUAACGUAAUAUAUUUAUAUAGCCAAACUAAGUUGUAACCCUAGAUACAAUAUUUGUACUUUUAUUCAAUUAAGUCUUUUUUAACUUAAUUAAUUUUCUUUAUUUUGGUCUGUUUCAAUUAAAUCCAGCUUAAUUGAUUAUCCUUAUUUAAUCUCAAUCAUGUCACUUAGUGUGUGUGACCCAUUAGGCUUCUAACAUGUUGGUAAUAAAUAUAAAUCAUAACCAAAUAUCAAUUAAAUAAUUUAUUUAUAUUUAUAGAUCAUGAGCAACAUUUAGCAAUAUAUCAUAACCACCUAAUUGUUAAAGGGUCAAUUAAAAAAUUUGUCAAAGCCCUUCAGUGAUAAGACUCUCAUGCAAUACGAUCUUUUCAUCAAUGAUAUUUAUGUUGAAGUACCUUAAAGGCUGAAAGUCAAUGAUAGGGUCAACAAGGCCUACAAGCUGCAUAAGGCCUUAUAUGGUCUUGAACAAGCACCUAAGGCUUGGUACAACAAGAUAGGUAGUUAUUUGGAGUCAAAAGGGUUAUGUAGGAAUGUAAAUGAACCUACAUUUUAUCUCUUAAAGGUCCAAGAUCAAGUAAAGUUGAUGAUUUCCUUGUAUCUAGAUGACUUGUCUGUUAAACGUCCAAAAAGAAAACUCAUAACUCAAUUCAAGGCUAUCUUGAAGAUUGACUUUGAGAUGACUGAUUUGGGAAAAAUGAGAAACUACUUGGGAUUUCAAAUUGAUAAGUAUGACCAAGGCAUCUUCCUUUAUCAGAAACACUAUAUUACUAAAGUUUCAAAAACCUUCAAUAUGGAAAAAUGCAAAUCAAUUGCAACUCCAAUGGCUAUAAAUGAUAAAUUCAAUAAUGCUAACUCUCCUAAACUCACUGAUACUUUUCUCUAUAGAAGCUUAAUUGGUCAAGGCAGCGGCUUUAGUGGAGGUAGGCCGCGGCUCACAUAAUUUGAUGAGGAAAUCCUUAUUGGAAUUGACUUUUUUUUUCACCCAACUUGGCUUAACUUCAAAGUCCUACAAAAACAACCUUUCGAAGAACUUUUAAAAAGGAACGAAACACCAUAUUGAUAGCUAAGAAUCAAGCCACAAAGUCAUUAAAGCUGAGAAGAAUUUGAAGGGAUUCAAAAAGAUUAGGAAGAUCAAGACCUUUUAUCUUUUUAUCAUUCUUUUAUUUUCUUAGUUUGAUUUUAAUGUUUAAACUUAAUUUGAUGAUGACGUGUGACUUGAUAGGGAACUAAGUUAUUUAUCUAAGAUUAUAAUUGAACUCAUUAUGUAGUCUAAUUUAUUUAUCUUUCUUUUGCUUAUGUUUGGUGGUUUUAAGUUGUUUAUUCUAUUAAGUUCUUAAUGCUUCUAAUUACCUGAUCACCAAUUAGAUUGAAUUGGAAAUCUAGGUUAAACAUUGACGAAGGACAUUUAGGUAAACCUUGAAUAGAAUAGCAUAAGAUCGAACACGCUUAGUUGAUUAGGUGGUUUGAUUUGCAUAUAGAGUAGACGUAUACCUAUAAGCCAUACAUAGCCAGGAUUAGAGCACGAACUCAAUGAAUUUUUUUUCAAUUUAAUUUGCAUAGACAUAUAGUAAGUUAAUUGAGAGAGAUAUUUUAAUAAGAAACUUGACAGAGACCUGUAAAUAAUUUAGAACUCUAAGUUAAAAACUUAAUCCAUUAAACUGAGUUAAAAGAGAGAGGCAAUAUUCAGAUGAAGUAUUGAGGGAUAUCAUAAUCUUAGGUUUGGUAGUCACUCAAGUUUAAUAAAAAAAAUUUGCUGAUAGAUUUUAGAUUAGUUUUUGUUAUUAGUUUUAAUUUUUCUUUUUAAUAAUUAGGUUGUUUGAAUAAGAUUAAGGUGUGUUAAUUUUAGUAGUUAACAUUAGGAAUUAAUUCAAUUCUCUAUGUGAACGAAUUCUACUUUCUAUUGUUUUACUUGUUAACGGUAUGUGCACUUGUGUGAAAAAUCAAUAAGAAGUUUUUUGCAUAAUAACAUUCAUACAUUAACCAUAGAAAAAUCUCGUACCCACACUAGCCCGAAAGCUGAAGUAAUCGAGCAGACUACAAACAUAAAAGGGCUCGUCUCCCCUUGUUGAAAACUAAUACAUACCAGUAUAUUUACAUACAUAAUAUAUUCGUAAACAAUUUGAAAAUUAAUGUGUCACACAUAUCACAAUGAUUAUUAAAUUAAGUCAUUUGAGCAUUUCCUUGAAAACUUCAUAAAACCCUUUAUUUCAAAUCCUUUAACAAACCAUUUAUGGAAAUAAUUUUUCAACGUGCUUAAACAACCAUUUCGAUAAAAAUCAUGCUAACUUUACAUACUAAAAUACUUGAAAAGGUGUAUCCACUCACCUAAUUGGAGAUUUAAUUUCCAAGCUCCAAUCACAACUUCGUUUCGACGUAAUCCAUGGAGUUUUCAAGCGUUCCUAUCAUACAAAAAU
Molecule: long non-coding RNA, 5977 nt
Filed under: Theobroma cacao (cacao)
Lineage: Eukaryota; Viridiplantae; Streptophyta; Magnoliopsida; Malvales; Malvaceae
Description: long non-coding RNA (TCAC_LNC003700)
Source: RNAcentral